GGCUUCCGCUUCCGGUUCUGUUGGACGCUGUGGCUGUAAAGAUGAUCGGAGACAUCCUGCUCUUCGGAACGCUGCUGAUGAACGCUGGAGCGGUGCUUAACUUUAAGCUGAAAAAGAAGGACACGCAGGGCUUUGGGGAGGAGUCCAGGGAGCCUGGCACAGGUGACAAUAUCCGGGAGUUCCUACUGAGCCUCAGGUACUUCCGAAUCUUCAUCGCCCUGUGGAACGUCUUCAUGAUGUUCUGCAUGAUCGUGUUGUUUGGCUCCUGAGCUCCAGAUAUGGAACCAGGAACAUACCUUCCCAGAUGCCACGCCUUCCUCUGUUCCUGACAACUUCAAGAAUGUGUUUGACCGGAAAACCGGCUCUGAUUGACCACUCAGUGGAGCUGUCAUCCCUAGGACUUUAAGGGUGAAGUAUUACUGGUUCCCACAGAAGAGGUGCAGAACAGUUGGCAAGGGCAGACAGGUGUCUUAGGAGAAAUUUUAUAUUGCCUUGAAAGCUCUCUGUUAAAGGGGUUAUUAAUUGUACAAUUUUUAGAGUGAGAGUGAUUUAUGUGGUAAUAUUGGGAUGUAAUUCUGAAAGCUUGAGGUUUUGGAGUCAAAGUUGAAAAACAGUGAGCUUCAUUUGAGCAUUUUUCACAGAAGCUUCUUUGAAAGAGUCCUGAUUUAAUUGCCAAAAUAAAACACUAGUGGUCAGCACCUGGAUCUCAUAGGUGUUUAAUUUGUCUGUUGUGGUUUUUGAAAUCCUGACUUAAAAGUAAACCUGGUGGGAGGAACAAGCAAACAUGCAUGCUUUUAGAACUAACUAGCAUAGCCCUGGCCAGUUUGGCUUAGCAGUUGCGUGGUGGCCUGCACACUAGAGAGUCCUGGGUUCGGUUCCUGCUAGGGGCACGUACCACAAAAUAAAAUAAAAAACUAAAUAGUAUUGAAAAUGAAGUGCAUUUUCCCAAAAGGACCUUUGGUUAUACAUUUUUAAAAAUAAGACAUUGCCUUUCAAUUUGAGUCAUUUCUAAUUAAGCUAUGGGAAACACUUCAGAUUUUUUUGGAGGCUGUCAAAAAGAAAUGAUUAUCCCUUUUGGAUUUUGCUCAGUAAGUGUUGGUCAGGAAUUGGGCAAAUAUGGUUUUGACCUGGCUGCUCCUAGAAGAAUUGAAAGAGCCAGUGAUAAUGGUGGGGUUUCCCUAGACCAGGGUCAAAUCCACUUGUACUAUUGCUCAGCUAAUGUCAUUCUACUUCAUUGCUUCUAUAGCUUAUUCCCUUGUCAAAUCUGGCUAAGCAUCUCCCCAUUUGUAAGUAGCAGGGAAUAUAGCUUCUGAAUUGAGUUUUGCCCAGGCCU
Molossus molossus (Pallas's mastiff bat) is the source of this 1333-nucleotide RNA transcript. It is a transcript of the gene named small integral membrane protein 7, with no coding region annotated. The transcript has 6 exons. NCBI's taxonomy places the organism in Eukaryota, Metazoa, Chordata, Mammalia, Chiroptera, Molossidae. The record is from RefSeq and is a predicted model, not a curated record.